AGAGUUUGAUCCUGGCUCAGGAUGAACGCUAGCUACAGGCUUAACAUAUGCAAGUCGAGGGGCAGCAUGGUCUUAGCUUGCUAAGGCCGAUGGCGACCGGCGCACGGGUGAGUAACGCGUAUCCAACCUGCCUUACACUCUUGGACAGCCUUCUGAAAGGGAGAUUAAUACAAGAUGUUAUCAUGAGUAAGCAUUUUCGCAUGAUUAAAGGUUUACCGGUGUAAGAUGGGGAUGCGUUCCAUUAGAUAGUAGGCGGGGUAACGGCCCACCUAGUCUUCGAUGGAUAGGGGUUCUGAGAGGAAGGUCCCCCACAUUGGAACUGAGACACGGUCCAAACUCCUACGGGAGGCAGCAGUGAGGAAUAUUGGUCAAUGGACGAGAGUCUGAACCAGCCAAGUAGCGUGAAGGAUGAAGGUUCUAUGGAUUGUAAACUUCUUUUAUACGGGAAUAAACGGAUCCACGUGUGGAUUUUUGCAUGUACCGUAUGAAUAAGGAUCGGCUAACUCCGUGCCAGCAGCCGCGGUAAUACGGAGGAUCCGAGCGUUAUCCGGAUUUAUUGGGUUUAAAGGGAGCGUAGAUGGGUUGUUAAGUCAGUUGUGAAAGUUUGCGGCUCAACCGUAAAAUUGCAAUUGAUACUGGCAGUCUUGAGUACAGUUGAGGUAGGCGGAAUUCGUGGUGUAGCGGUGAAAUGCUUAGAUAUCACGAAGAACUCCGAUUGCGAAGGCAGCUUACUAACCUGUAACUGACAUUGAUGCUCGAAAGUGUGGGUAUCAAACAGGAUUAGAUACCCUGGUAGUCCACACGGUAAACGAUGAAUACUCGCUGUAGGCGAUAUACAGUCUGCGGCCAAGCGAAAGCAUUAAGUAUUCCACCUGGGGAGUACGCCGGCAACGGUGAAACUCAAAGGAAUUGACGGGGACCCGCACAAGCGGAGGAACAUGUGGUUUAAUUCGAUGAUACGCGAGGAACCUUACCCGGGCUUAAAUUGCAACCGAAUAUGGCGGAAACGCUAUAGCUAGCAAUAGCGGUUGUGAAGGUGCUGCAUGGUUGUCGUCAGCUCGUGCCGUGAGGUGUCGGCUUAAGUGCCAUAACGAGCGCAACCCUUGCCGAUAGUUACUAACAGGUUAUGCUGAGGACUCUGUCGGGACUGCCAUCGUAAGAUGUGAGGAAGGUGGGGAUGACGUCAAAUCAGCACGGCCCUUACGUCCGGGGCUACACACGUGUUACAAUGGGGGGUACAGAGGGCUGCUACCACGCAAGUGGAUGCCAAUCCCAAAAACCUCUCUCAGUUCGGAUUGAAGUCUGCAACCCGACUUCAUGAAGCUGGAUUCGCUAGUAAUCGCGCAUCAGCCACGGCGCGGUGAAUACGUUCCCGGGCCUUGUACACACCGCCCGUCAAG
Molecule: ribosomal RNA, 1400 nt
Filed under: uncultured bacterium
Lineage: Bacteria
Description: bacterial SSU rRNA
Rfam family: Bacterial small subunit ribosomal RNA
Source: RNAcentral